GGCUUCGUGGUGUAACGGUAGCACAAUCGGCGCCUAUUUGAGAGUUCCAGGUUCGAAUCCCGGCGAGGGCA
Molecule: transfer RNA, 71 nt
Filed under: Stegodyphus mimosarum
Lineage: Eukaryota; Metazoa; Arthropoda; Arachnida; Araneae; Eresidae
Rfam family: tRNA
About the family: Transfer RNA (tRNA) molecules are approximately 80 nucleotides in length. Their secondary structure includes four short double-helical elements and three loops (D, anti-codon, and T loops).
Source: Rfam by way of RNAcentral